AGGAUGAACGCUGGCGGCGUGCCUAACACAUGCAAGUCGAACGUCCUGUCUCGCAAGAGGCAGGGAGUGGCGGACGGGUGAGUACCACGUGGGUUAUCUACCGUGAGGUGAGGAAUACCGGCGAGAAAUCGCCGACAAGACCGCAUAGCCUCGGUGCAAGCCGAGCAAAGCUCUUUCGAGAGAGGGAGCGCCACACGAGGAGCCUGCGCCCGAUUAGCUAGCUGGUGGAGUAACGGUUCACCAGGGCGACGAUCGGUAGCUGGUCUGAGAGGACGAUCAGCCACACUGGGAUUGAGAACGGCCCAGACUCCUACGGGGGGCAGCAGUGAGGAAUUUUCGUCAAUGGGGGCAACCCUGAACGAGCAACGCCGCGUGCAGGAAGAAGGUUUUCGGAUCGUAAACUGCUUUUCGUCGGGGAAGAGAACGGACGGUACCCGAGGAAUCGAGCCCCGGCUAACGUACGCGCCAGCAGCCGC
Molecule: ribosomal RNA, 476 nt
Filed under: uncultured bacterium
Lineage: Bacteria
Description: SSU rRNA
Rfam family: Bacterial small subunit ribosomal RNA
Source: RNAcentral